Molecule: ribosomal RNA, 265 nt
Filed under: uncultured bacterium
Lineage: Bacteria
Description: partial 16S ribosomal RNA
Rfam family: Bacterial small subunit ribosomal RNA
Source: RNAcentral
GACGAACGCUGGCGGCGUGCUUAACACAUGCAAGUCGAACGAUGAAGCCUUUCGGGGUGGAUUAGUGGCGAACGGGUGAGUAACACGUGGGCAAUCUGCCCUGUACUUUGGGAUAAGCCUUGGAAACGGGGUCUAAUACCGGAUAUCACUUACCUCCGCAUGGGGUUUGUUGAAAGUUCUGGCGGUACAGGAUGAGCCCGCCGGCCUAUCAGCUUGUUGGUGGGGUAGUGGCCUACCAAGGCGACGACGGGUAGCCGGCCUGAGA